This 84-nucleotide transfer RNA is filed under the name Anaerolineae bacterium. Its description in RNAcentral is "tRNA-Leu". It matches the Rfam family "tRNA". From Rfam's summary of the family: Transfer RNA (tRNA) molecules are approximately 80 nucleotides in length. The record is from RNAcentral. Lineage: Bacteria; Bacillati; Chloroflexota; Anaerolineae.
GCCGGAGUGGCGGAACUGGCAGACGCACGCGACUCAAAAUCGCGCGGGCUAACCCCCGUGUGGGUUCGACUCCCACCUCCGGCA